RNAcentral lists this transfer RNA (72 nucleotides) under Chelydra serpentina (North American snapping turtle). RNAcentral's name for it is "tRNA-Asp". It matches the Rfam family "tRNA". From Rfam's summary of the family: Transfer RNA (tRNA) molecules are approximately 80 nucleotides in length. Their secondary structure includes four short double-helical elements and three loops (D, anti-codon, and T loops). Lineage: Eukaryota; Metazoa; Chordata; Testudines; Chelydridae. The record is from RNAcentral.
UCCUCGUUAGUAUAGUGGUGAGUAUCCCCGCCUGUCACGCGGGUGUCCGGGGUUCGAUUCCCCGACGAGGAG